GAAAUGCGAUAAGUAGUGUGAAUUGCAGAAUUCAGUGAAUCAUCGAAUCUUUGAACGCACAUUGCGCCCCUUGGUAUUCCAUGGGGCAUGCCUGUUCGAGCGUCAUUUGUACCCUCAAGCUUUGCUUGGUGUUGGGUGUUUGUCCACUGCCCUUGUGCAGGACGGACUCGCCUUAAAACAAUUGGCAGCCGGCAGAUUGGCCUGGAGCGCAGCACAUUUUGCGCCCCUGGUCGACACUGUUGGCAUCCAUCAAGACCUUCUUUUAGCUCUUGACCUCGGAUCAGGUAGGGAUACCCGCUGAACUUAA
RNAcentral lists this unclassified non-coding RNA (307 nucleotides) under uncultured Ascomycota. RNAcentral describes it as "sequence contains ITS1". The stretch from base 1 to 105 matches the Rfam family "5.8S ribosomal RNA", at positions 50 to 154 of the family's 154-position model. The record is from RNAcentral. Lineage: Eukaryota; Fungi; Ascomycota.